Long non-coding RNA from Bactrocera neohumeralis, 2884 nucleotides. RefSeq lists it as uncharacterized. The record is from RefSeq and is a predicted model, not a curated record. NCBI's taxonomy places the organism in Eukaryota, Metazoa, Arthropoda, Insecta, Diptera, Tephritidae. The transcript has 2 exons.
CCACGCUAUAAACGGAAAUAAGUGGCUCACUUUCUCGUGCAUAUCACAACCGAUCGGACCACAUCUUUUUUAGCAAUCAUCGACACUCGCUUCGUUUUCUAACCUUCAAGUCACACACGUGCAAUCGUAAAAGUCCUUUUUAUUAUUUCUAUUGGCUCAACUCAUGCAUUAAUAAUAUAGUUUAGGCUGUGUAUAAAGUGAGGGCUGAUUUAAUAGAUCAGUCCUCAUGGCAAUGAACGUGGGGUACAACAUCUAAAACCGAUGCACUCAAUAGUAUAAUAUACAGUUUUGUCCUUCGAGCCGGAUCAUCUCGCGUUUGUUCUCCGCGGCUUUUGUGCUUUCCGGUUAAUUCUUUGUGAAUUUUUUCUUUUAAUUUUUUGUACAAUCUAUAAUACAGUUUUUUCUUUGCGGGUCAAAUCAUGUCCGAUAGCGAGGCACCCAAUCCGGAGUGUAAAGAUUCGGACGUGCAAUCGAUCAAAUCGACACAAAGUCACAAGUCAACGGUGAUAUCAGCACCUACACUCAACGUGUAUGUUACGUCAGGACGACAAUCACCUGUGCACUCGGAUGUGGACGAGACAGGUUCUGUCAAAUCCACUCGCUCGUCAAAACGUGCACAAUCACCCGCACGGCUAACUGACGAGCUCGUGCUUAAAGCCAGAUCGCAAAUCGAUCGCGUUAAGGCACUCACUCCACACUUCAAGCAAAUCAAUAAUUUCCGGGAUAAGGACAGCUCUGCAAUGAAGGCAAUUCUGCAAUCAGCUGAGGAAGUACACAGGGGUUUCCUAAAAGAGCACUCGUUUCUGGAAAUUACCUGGCCAGUAGCACAUCUCAAUCACGAGUAUUUUGCGGAUGAUGUUCACCCACAAGAAGCAAGCAUCAUCUGCGAUAUUCGCCAACUAGCUGCAGUCCGUCUUCAGCCAAUCGACACUCCUGCACCUAAUAUCACUCCUGGUUUAAUAUCUUCAAUUUGGAAGUAUUUUUCUUUUAAUUUAUUACAAUUUCCUUGUUUUUUGUUUAAAAUUUCUGACUAAAAUGUGCUUUUUUUAUCUAGUUUACAAUAGGUUUUUGAAAUUUCUGUUUUAGAAUUUUGAAUAUUAAAAAAUUUAGUGUUACAAUAUAUUAAGUUCUGGUCAAUAAUAAGCAUACCAUCGAAUUGAGCUAUGGCUCUGACAUCAUAGUACUACUAACAUAUUAGUUCUAUUUUAGGGUAUUUAAUAUAAAUUAUAAUUAUGUCUCCUUUUUGGGCUAUUUUAAAUUUAAAUGUCCAUUAAACUUGUUAUGGUCAUUAUACGUAUACCGUGUUGGUAAUAUGUUACGUUUUUUAGUUCAUCAAAAUGUAAAAUUGUUGGAUUUAAAAUUCCAGUUUUACCAAAAGUUAUUGCAUUUAUUAAAUUUUGCAGUUCAUGUAUAACAUAUUGAUUUCGUUUUCUUUUUAAUUUUCCUGUUUGUGGUAUCACCUUCAAUAUUAUUUACUGUGUCAGAUAAUUCUGUUAUUAUUUUAAACAUUUCUGAAUUUGUUGUGAGUUGUUUAUUGUUACUUAUUACUAGUUGGUCCAAUUUGUCAUUUUAACAAAGUCGUCGUGGUCUGAUGUACCGGCUAUCCAUUUCCAAAGUGUUCCUAAAUCAUUUAUACGCCUUUUUUGCCGAAAAUGGGUUUGUUUUAAUUCUUUUAAUAAUGUUUUAAUUAUCAAAAUUUCAGAUUCUGUUUCCUGUGUAAUAAUUCCUAGGCUCUCGUGAUUUUGUUCGUUAUGACUGUAAAAAUUUCAAUUUUCGUCUGCUAUUAUAUUUUCAAAAUAAGAUAAAUUAGUAAUGUGAAAUAGGUCCCCGUAUUCCUCAUAAAUGGAAACAUCUCCAUUUUCGAUAAGUACGUAGUCUUGUCGGGUAUAGUCUAUAGCAUCAGCGACUGCUGAGCAGAUUAGUGCAGUAAAAAUUAAAAUGAUCAUAUUGGAAACUUAUAAUAAUUAUGAUUUUAUAUUAUUUUUAUGAUAACUCUAUUUCUAUUAUUAAUUAUUUUAUUCUCAAAAUUUUCCUUAACUCGCUGUUUUUUAUAUCUAGGUUGUAAUUUAUUUCUCUCUUCUAUUAUUUUCUCGUAAAUGAUUUGGCCGGGAUGAUAUUGCUAUCUGAUCUAUGUUUAUUAUGAAACGUUAGCAUUUUCUCCUGUGCUUGCUUUACAGUUGUUGGCAAAUUUUCGUGGUUUAUUUUAUUAUAAAUUACUUUAUUUGGUUUAAAAUUCGGUACUGAAUGUAUUGUUGUAUUGUAUUUUUUCGCUGCUCUAAGUAUAGUUUCUAAAUUACUGACAAUAUUGUAUUCUUCUUUUAUUCAUCUGGCUAUUUCAAUUAUUGUUGAAUGGACUCUUUCAACUUGUCCGUUAGUUAUGCUGUGACGUGAAUUACAAAAAUAAAUUUCAAUAUUUAACCUGCGCAUUAAGGACUUAAAUGUUGGUGUGGUAAAGUUUGGUUCAUUGUCUAAAGUAGUUUGUUUUACAUCUGUGAAACUUUGAAGCAAUUCUAAAACCUUUUCUUCGAUAUUUGAUUUAUUUUCUAUAUGUUUUUUUACGGAUUGCCAAUGCAUUGCCCACACUCUAGUCACACGGUUAUAAAAUUGCCAAUGCAUUGCCCACACUCUGGUCACACUGUUAUACAGUGGCAACACUCUAGCCACGCUAUAAACGGAAAUAAGUGGCUCACUUUCUCGUGCAUAUCACAACCGAUCGGACCACAUCUUUUUUAGCAAUCAUCGACACUCGCUUCGUUUUCUAACCUUCAAGUCACACACGUGCAAUCGUAAAAGUCCUUUUUAUUAUUUCUAUUGGCUCAUCUCAUGCAUUAAUAAUAUAGUUUGUAAGUCAAUCGUUAUAAAAAAUACAAUAAAAUUAAUUAAA